AAGUCGUAACAAGGUUUCCGUAGGUGAACCUGCGGAAGGAUCAUUAAGGAAUGUUGGUGGUGGUCUCGGUAAAAAUUUGCCGUCGACUAUUAUGCCACUCAACUACUUUCUAUGUAUAUUGUUUGUUGAGGCUGUGACGCACACCUCAAGGUAUUGGAUGUGCGAGCUCUGCUUUUACACCCAAUGCCGUGCGUCUUUGCAUUUACAUUUUAACACUUUAACAUACUUUAUUAUAAUCAAUAUAAUUGAUACAACUUUUAACAAUGGAUCUCUUGGCUCUC
Molecule: unclassified non-coding RNA, 281 nt
Filed under: fungal sp.
Lineage: Eukaryota; Fungi
Description: partial internal transcribed spacer region
Rfam family: Eukaryotic small subunit ribosomal RNA (bases 1-46)
Source: RNAcentral